CUGAUUACUUUUUAAACAGAGACGCGAUCAAGUACAUAACAAAAGAUAAAAAAUUUCACGCACCUUGCACUCGACACGUUUACUUACUAAAAGUAAUGCGUACUAUAUAACCCAGCCGAUUUCCCGUAAGGGAGA
RNAcentral lists this small RNA (135 nucleotides) under Pseudomonas linyingensis. Its description in RNAcentral is "Pseudomonas sRNA P14". The record is from RNAcentral. Lineage: Bacteria; Pseudomonadati; Pseudomonadota; Gammaproteobacteria; Pseudomonadales; Pseudomonadaceae.